GGUUAAGUGACUAAGCGUACACGGUGGAUGCCUAGGCAGUCAGAGGCGAUGAAGGGCGUGCUAAUCUGCGAAAAGCGUCGGUAAGGUGAUAUGAACCGUUAUAACCGGCGAUACCCGAAUGGGGAAACCCAGUGUGUUUCGACACACUAUCAUGUCAUGAAUACAUAGUGGCAUGAGGCGAACCGGGGGAACUGAAACAUCUAAGUACCCCGAGGAAAAGAAAUCAACCGAGAUUCCCCCAGUAGCGGCGAGCGAACGGGGAGAAGCCCAGAACCUGAAUCGGCUUGUGUGUUAGUGGAAGCGUCUGGAAAGUCGCGCAGCAAAGGGUGAUAGCCCCGUACACUAAAAUGCACAGGUCGUGAGUUCGAUGAGUAGGGCGGGACACGUGACAUCCUGUCUGAAUAUGGGGGGACCAUCCUCCAAGGCUAAAUACUCCUGACUGACCGAUAGUGAACCAGUACCGUGAGGGAAAGGCGAAAAGAACCCCGGCGAGGGGAGUGAAAUAGAACCUGAAACCGUGUACGUACAAGCAGUGGGAGCACCUUCGUGGUGUGACUGCGUACCUUUUGUAUAAUGGGUCAGCGACUUAUAUUUUGUAGCAAGGUUAACCGUAUAGGGGAGCCGUAGGGAAACCGAGUCUUAACUGGGCGAAUAGUUGCAAGGUAUAGACCCGAAACCCGGUGAUCUAGCCAUGGGCAGGUUGAAGGUUGGGUAACACUAACUGGAGGACCGAACCGACUAAUGUUGAAAAAUUAGCGGAUGACUUGUGGCUGGGGGUGAAAGGCCAAUCAAACCGGGAGAUAGCUGGUUCUCCCCGAAAGCUAUUUAGGUAGCGCCUCGUGAACUCAUCUUCGGGGGUAGAGCACUGUUUCGGCUAGGGGGCCAUCCCGGCUUACCAAACCGAUGCAAACUCCGAAUACCGAAGAAUGUUAUCACGGGAGACACACGGCGGGUGCUAACGUCCGUCGUGAAGAGGGAAACAACCCAGACCGCCAGCUAAGGUCCCAAAGUCAUGGUUAAGUGGGAAACGAUGUGGGAAGGCAUAGACAGCCAGGAUGUUGGCUUAGAAGCAGCCAUCAUUUAAAGAAAGCGUAAUAGCUCACUGGUCGAGUCGGCCUGCGCGGAAGAUGUAACGGGGCUAAACCAUGCACCGAAGCUGCGGCAGCGACGCUUAGGCGUUGUUGGGUAGGGGAGCGUUCUGUAAGCCGUUGAAGGUGGCCUGUGAGGGUUGCUGGAGGUAUCAGAAGUGCGAAUGCUGACAUAAGUAACGAUAAAGCGGGUGAAAAGCCCGCUCGCCGGAAGACCAAGGGUUCCUGUCCAACGUUAAUCGGGGCAGGGUGAGUCGACCCCUAAGGCGAGGCUGAAAAGCGUAGUCGAUGGGAAACAGGUUAAUAUUCCUGUACUUGGUGUUACUGCGAAGGGGGGACGGAGAAGGCUAGGCUGGCCGGGCGACGGUUGUCCCGGUUUAAGCGUGUAGGGGGUGUGACCUGGUAAAUCCGGUUGCAUAUCAACCCUGAGGCGUGAUGACGAUGCACUACGGUGCAGAAGUAGUUGAUGCCCUGCUUCCAGGAAAAUCCUCUAAGCUCCAGGUAACAUUAAAUCGUACCCCAAACCGACACAGGUGGUCAGGUAGAGAAUACCAAGGCGCUUGAGAGAACUCGGGUGAAGGAACUAGGCAAAAUGGUGCCGUAACUUCGGGAGAAGGCACGCUGGCAUGUAGGUGAAGUCCCUUGCGGAUGGAGCUGAAGCCAGUCGAAGAUACCAGCUGGCUGCAACUGUUUAAUAAAAACACAGCACUGUGCAAACACGAAAGUGGACGUAUACGGUGUGACGCCUGCCCGGUGCUGGAAGGUUAAUUGAUGGGGUCAGCCGCAAGGCGAAGCUCUUGAUCGAAGCCCCAGUAAACGGCGGCCGUAACUAUAACGGUCCUAAGGUAGCGAAAUUCCUUGUCGGGUAAGUUCCGACCUGCACGAAUGGCGUAAUGAUGGCCAGGCUGUCUCCACCCGAGACUCAGUGAAAUUGAACUCGCUGUGAAGAUGCAGUGUACCCGCGGCAAGACGGAAAGACCCCGUGAACCUUUACUAUAGCUUGACACUGAACAUUGAGCCUUGAUGUGUAGGAUAGGUGGGAGGCUUUGAAGCGUGGACGCCAGUCUGCGUGGAGCCAUCCUUGAAAUACCACCCUUUAAUGUUUGAUGUUCUAACUCGGCCCCAUAAUCUGGGGUGAGGACAGUGUCUGGUGGGUAGUUUGACUGGGGCGGUCUCCUCCCAAAGAGUAACGGAGGAGCACGAAGGUUAGCUAAUCACGGUCGGACAUCGUGAGGUUAGUGCAAAGGCAUAAGCUAGCUUGACUGCGAGAGUGACGGCUCGAGCAGGUACGAAAGUAGGUCUUAGUGAUCCGGUGGUUCUGAAUGGAAGGGCCAUCGCUCAACGGAUAAAAGGUACUCCGGGGAUAACAGGCUGAUACCGCCCAAGAGUUCAUAUCGACGGCGGUGUUUGGCACCUCGAUGUCGGCUCAUCACAUCCUGGGGCUGAAGUAGGUCCCAAGGGUAUGGCUGUUCGCCAUUUAAAGUGGUACGCGAGCUGGGUUUAGAACGUCGUGAGACAGUUCGGUCCCUAUCUGCCGUGGGCGUUGGAAGAUUGAGAGGGGUUGCUCCUAGUACGAGAGGACCGGAGUGAACGCACCACUGGUGUUCGGGUUGUCAUGCCAAUGGCAUUGCCCGGUAGCUAAGUGCGGAAAAGAUAAGCGCUGAAAGCAUCUAAGCGCGAAACUUGCCUCAAGAUGAGUCUUCCCUGGGCCUUUAAGGCCCCUGAAGGAACGUUUAAGACUAAGACGUUGAUAGGCUGGGUGUGUAAGUGCAGCGAUGCAUUGAGCUAACCAGUACUAAUGAUCCGUGAGGCUUAACCUU
Molecule: ribosomal RNA, 2908 nt
Filed under: Serratia ureilytica
Lineage: Bacteria; Pseudomonadati; Pseudomonadota; Gammaproteobacteria; Enterobacterales; Yersiniaceae
Description: 23S ribosomal RNA
Rfam family: Bacterial large subunit ribosomal RNA
Source: RNAcentral